AUAAAAGCAUUGAAAAAGAGGAGUAAAAAUUGGAAACAUGGUAGGAAUCUUGCAGAUAAUAAUGUGAGUAGUACUGUUUUUUAUGAGUUAUAUAAUUCAUAAAAUAUUCAGAGAGAGGGAUUAGGUGAAAGCCCUUAUGUGGAAGAUUUUGAAGGUAGCUUUUGAGCUUCUUUAGUGAAAAUAACAGUAGCUAAAGACGGUUUUUCUAAAUCGUUAUUUAAAUUAAGAGUCCAUUAGAGCAUGAUUUUAUCUGCUUACGUGGAAAUAAAGGUGGUACCGCGAGUUUUCGUCCUUUUA
This 297-nucleotide non-coding RNA is filed under the name Clostridium neonatale. RNAcentral describes it as "T-box". The stretch from base 70 to 297 matches the Rfam family "T-box leader". From Rfam's summary of the family: Uncharged tRNA acts as the effector for transcription antitermination of genes in the T-box leader family. T-boxes are found upstream of many aminoacyl-tRNA synthetase genes and some amino acid biosynthetic genes usually in Gram-positive bacteria. The anticodon of a specific tRNA base pairs to a specifier sequence within the T-box motif, and the NCCA acceptor tail of the tRNA base pairs to a conserved bulge in the T-box antiterminator hairpin. The record is from RNAcentral. Lineage: Bacteria; Bacillati; Bacillota; Clostridia; Eubacteriales; Clostridiaceae.